AGUGAACGCUGGCGGUAGGCCUAACACAUGCAAGUCGAACGGCAGCACAGAGGAGCUUGCUCCUUGGGUGGCGAGUGGCGGACGGGUGAGGAAUACAUCGGAAUCUACUCUGUCGUGGGGGAUAACGCAGGGAAACUUACGCUAAUACCGCAUACGACCUACGGGUGAAAGCAGGGGAUCUUCGGACCUUGCGCGAUUGAAUGAGCCGAUGUCGGAUUGGCUAGUUGGCGGGGUAAAGGCCCACCAAGGCGACGAUCCGUAGCUGGUCUGAGAGGAUGAUCAGCCACACUGGAACUGAGACACGGUCCAGACUCCUACGGGAGGCAGCAGUGGGGAAUAUUGGACAAUGGGCGCAAGCCUGAUCCAGCCAUACCGCGUGGGUGAAGAAGGCCUUCGGGUUGUAAAGCCCUUUUGUUGGGAAAGAAAUCCAGCCGGCUAAUACCUGGUUGGGAUGACGGUACCCAAAGAAUAAGCACCGGCUAACUUCGUG
RNAcentral lists this ribosomal RNA (490 nucleotides) under uncultured bacterium. RNAcentral describes it as "partial 16S ribosomal RNA". It matches the Rfam family "Bacterial small subunit ribosomal RNA", at positions 29 to 507 of the family's 1533-position model. The record is from RNAcentral.